CCUACGGGUGGCAGCAGUGGGGAAUAUUGGGCAAUGGGCGAAAGCCUGACCCAGCAAUGCCGCGUGCAGGAAGAAGGCUUUCUGGUUGUAAACUUCCUUUGACAGGAACGAGCAGAAGACGGUACCUGUCGAAUAAGCCACGGCUAACUACGUGCCAUCAGCAGCGGUAGUACGUAGGUGGCAAGCGUUGUCCGGAUUUCCUGGGUGUAAAGGGCGUGUAGGCGGGCUGACAAGUCAGAUGGGAAAUCCGGGGGCUCAACCCGCGAACUGCAUUUGAAACUGUUGGUCUAGAGUGUAGGAGAGGCAGGCGGAAUUCCUAGUGUAGCGGUGAAAUGCGUAGAUAUUAGAAGGAACACCAGUGGCGAAGGCGGCCUGCUGGACGACAACUGACGGUGAGGCGCGAAAGCGUGGGGAGCAAACAGGAUUAGAUACCCCGGUAGUC
RNAcentral lists this ribosomal RNA (442 nucleotides) under uncultured bacterium. Its description in RNAcentral is "partial 16S ribosomal RNA". It matches the Rfam family "Bacterial small subunit ribosomal RNA", at positions 338 to 795 of the family's 1533-position model. The record is from RNAcentral.